This 332-nucleotide small RNA is filed under the name Arabidopsis thaliana (thale cress). RNAcentral's name for it is "ATSL266720". The record is from RNAcentral. Lineage: Eukaryota; Viridiplantae; Streptophyta; Magnoliopsida; Brassicales; Brassicaceae.
GCGGUUUUAGAUCUUAUACUGAAUGAUACAAAUGAUAUCAAGUCAUAUUUGACUCCAAACACUAACCAAGUUUUUUCUUGCUUCUCAAACAAACCUUUUAUGGUGUAACUGAAGUCCGUAUGAGUCUUUGGCUUUGCAUCUUCUAACCAGGAAACACUACUUAGGCUUUUAAGAUAUGGUUGCGGUGUAAGUUCUUAUACUUAAUCAUACACAUGACAUCAAGUCAUAUUUGACUCCAAAACACUAAUCAAGCUUCUUCUUGCUUCUCAAACCUUUGAUGGUGUAGUCGUAGUCCGUAUGAGUCUUUGUCUUUGUAUCUUCUAACAAGGAUA